Molecule: long non-coding RNA, 4700 nt
Organism: Triticum aestivum (bread wheat)
Lineage: Eukaryota; Viridiplantae; Streptophyta; Magnoliopsida; Poales; Poaceae
Exons: 3
Source: RefSeq, a predicted model, not a curated record
CUGGAGCUCAUUUAACUUGGCCAGGGCUUUAAUCUGGAGCUCCAUGGCGUCGCACAAGUGUGGCGGCCAGAUGGAGCGGAUUCAUUGCUCCUGCGUGCACCGGGCGCUCCGCGGCCUCAUGUUCAGCAGCAGCAACAAGGCCAGCAACGGCUGGAGGGAGGUGCAGGGCAACUUCAUCCCCUUCUGCUGUUGCCCAAUGUCGAGGACGGUCCAGGAGCCGCCGCUCGUCCUGGCGGUGGACGACAGCCUCGUCGACUGCGUGGUCAUCUCCUGGAUCCUCCGCAGCUCCAAAUACAGAGUGUUUUAGGUGGACACAUUGCUGGAGCCGUGUGGCACUCCUAAUGGUCUCAAGCAUACUCCCGUAAAACAUUUGGAGUACAUUUGUUGGUUGAAGUACCAAGAUAUUGGUGGAACUUCAUUCAAGGAGUAAAACAUUUCCAGUACCAAGAUUGCAGUAAAUUUUGUGGAACUUCACUGCUUGAGACCAUGUUAAUGAUGAUGCUUGUGCAGUACCAAGAUUCAGUAUCAGUAGCCGAGUGUUGGUUGAAGUGACUGUUCAAUUGUUCAGUGUCCGUUUUGUUAUCCUCAUUUCAGAAAUUUAUCUUUCCAUUCCUUCUUCCUAUCCUUCAUGUAGAGACUAUACUGCUUUACUUCAGACAAGUUUUCUUUAAAACCAAAUGAAUUAGGACUUGCAUUUUAGUUUAAAGUUUAUGUGCCUAAUUUAAAGUUUAAUUUCCCAGUAGAUUUUGAAUGUCUUUUCUUGGUUCUCUACCAGAAAACACACUACUCCAUUUUCUGGUGAUACUUAUCUGGUGAUCACAAGAUAUAAAUCCACUAUUACCAGUACCAUUAUCUGGUGAUCACAGAACCAUUUGAAAAUGAUCAAAAUGUACUCCUUUUCAGUUAAUAUAGAGUACUGAAACUGAAAAUGUGCAUACUGAAACUGAAACUGAUCAAAUGGAGUACAAAACCAUUUGAAAACGACCAAGAUGAUCAAAAUGGUCAAAUGGAGUACUCCUCAAUUAACGUAGAGUAGUUACAGUAAUUAUCAUAUCAUCUUGCCCUCUUUAAUAGUCAAUCAACUGUCACUAAUCGAGUGUUGUUUACUCCAACAAUUAUCUUAUUUUUAAUUGUCACUCCUACAAGCAUUUCUUUCUCUUCUCUUUCUGGCUAAUCACUCCACACAAUUUAAAUGAUCAUUCAAGUUCCUUUUGCAAAUUCAAGUUUUUGUAAUGAACUACUUAUAAGAUGGAGUAUGUUCCUUUUGCCUCCCUUGUUAAGCAGUAGUUGUAGAGUACUCCUUUUCAAGAUGUCACCAAGAGUGGCUCCGACUGAGUUAUCACCAAGAGGGGGUCGGCACAGAUUUGUCACCUCUUCAAGCGUCAUGGCAUGUCGGCGCUUGUCACCUCUUCUGGGCCAAAAUCUAACUUUGAAUCAUGCGACCAGUAUGAGCCAGAGCUAUUUCCUGGUUUGAUUUCUCCUGGGUGUACUAUGCUUUCUAGUGUCUGAUCUGAUGGCAAGAAUACUGUGUCGACGGUCAACCUGGACUGUAAAUUGGAUCUGAAAGCAAUAGCUCUCCAGGCAUGCAAUGCAGAGUAUAACCGCAAGGUAAAAUCAUUAUCCUAAGGCAUUCAUAAUGAUGUUUGAUUUUUUUCUCUUAUUGGGCUCGUGAUGCUAUAUUUCCGAAAACAUCCAAAAUUUUAUCACUUUGCUAGCAUCCAGUUUGAUGAAGCUACUACACAUCGAAUCAUCCAGCCUAACGUAGUGAAGUCACUGCCCUUAUAUAAGAGAAAAACAUAUGUUGGAAUCGACCCCUGGUUGGUCGGAAAAGACACGUUGAUUGUCAUCAGUAUAAGACCCACAGCUACUGUCAAAGAUUUGCCAAAUCAACCUGAACAUCAAAUAUAGACACUUGACUUGAUCAGCAGCAGAGUUAUGAAUGCAAGUUAUCUUAGCACUUGCUUACUGAAGCUAAACUCUAUUGCCUGGAGGGAAGAAGAGUUCGUAUAGUCAUACAUGUACAGGGAUUAUCUUCCAAAUCUGCUUGUUUGCAUAGACCCAAUUAGAUUUCCCGGAAGCUCGCACCCAGAUUUUGUUAUCCACAUCGGUUGAUCCUUGCAUACUACCCCUCACGGUUGAUGCGAUGAAUCUGAGACCUAGUAUGCAAUUACAAUGGGUGGAAUCAUUUAAAUUACUUGUUUCACAUAUGACGCAAAGUGCUAAAUAUAAAAAUAUACGAGCAUCAUGCUUAUAUAAAACGACAAGUAAAUCACACGAGUACGUAGGACUGUAGGAGGUACCUAAAACAGCUAGUAAAUCACACAAGUAUCCUUUAAUGACACAGGAGGUGGUACCAUAACUACGACGUGAGAGUUAUGGUCAUCUUAAUUCACAUCGGAAAAAUGACCAAAUAUCUCUACUUCAGUGAAGAUGCAAUCCUACGUAUAAUCUAGAGUUAUGGUCACUGUCGUACAAUGGUGCAAUUAUGUACUCCACUAACUACCACUUCAUUAAUAGAGUUACAGUUUUUAUUCAGUAAAAUAUUGGUUGUACUAAAAAGGAGUAAUCAAUAAAAAUAAAGAUUAAUCCCACUCCUAGCAGAGCUAAAAGAGAGUAAAUUCAGAAAUAUCAACUUAUAAUGCACAAUUUAUCACGGAUCCAUCCUAAAUGGCCAUCUAAUAAGCAACAUAUGUUUGCCCAAACUUUAUGUUGCAACGUCCCAAAUUGCCAUUAUAUAGUACCAAUAAUGACGGAUGAGAAAAUAAAGAAUGAAGUCAUGGAAAUACCUCAAGUAAAUAAUCCAAAAUAUUAUUCUGUAUUCCUUCUCGAGAAACUGGCUUCUUCUUCAAUAAAAAAAAAAUCAUAUUUCUUGUUCAGUUGGAGCGUUCGCAAUAGUAGAACUUUCUUCAGGAUUAUUUGUAGAGAUGUACGGAAUUUCUUUAUCUACAGAUUAAUAGGCUGAAACACCAACACCAUGAUUUUCAGACCCUGCCAACUCUAUAAUUCUAUAAGAUCCAAUACCUGCUAGAUUGUUCCACAACACCAAUGUCCAAGUCAAUACCAUAUAUUAUCCACUGAAAUGUCUGAUUUAAUAUCAUAUGCAAAAACAUUAGAGCAAUGUGCUCUCCUUUACCCAUAUUGUGUACCACAGAACAUUAUGAACAUUAGGGGAGGAUUAGCCUGCAGCUAUUUUAGAUCGUGCACCAAAUACUUGUAGUUUUCCUAAAUUAGGGAGAAGAACAAUGUUGAAAUCCACAAGAGUCGUAUAGAAAUUUCUGCAAUCAAUAUCAUAUCUGAUCCAUGUACGGCAGCCUCUAAAUAAGCAACAUAAGUCCACAGUCCAUAAGUAUGUAGGCUACGCUCCAAUUUGAUGUAUCAUGCAAUUUUGCAAUACUCGGAUAGUUUUGUAAAGCAUACAGAUACUGCAUUGGAGGGCUAUAAGCUUCAUUAAUCUGAAAAUAUGUAGACUGCAGCUGAGAUCGUAACUUAGUGACACAACACAUGGUAUGAUAGCUAAAGGAGAGGCUAUCAAUUGUCAUUUUUUUGCACUGAUGUGCUAGUAGAAAAACACCAUUGAUUCGAUUUGAUGUGUGAAGUCACCUGUCGACUCGGCUUGCCAUUGAUUCUGCGCCUAUUCCCUGGCUUCCUGAAAUAAAAUUUCCCAGCGUCGGAUCAGUUCAAAGAAAAGGCAGAUAGAAAAACCAACAGAGAGAAGAGCCCAUCUGAAUGUGAUCACUUGCCUUGCCGAGAGCAUUGAGCUUCCCUAGCACCAGCUCGGGAGAAUCCGACAAGGAGGGCCUCCUCUUGGGGGAGGCAGUUGUGUCGCCGACGCCGGCCGUCGGAGAUCAGCAAGGAGGGCUCCUUCUCCUUGGGCCUCCUGCUCAUGGUGCGUGAGCCGUGCAGCUCAUCGAGCUCUUCUCCUGCACAUACAGUUUAAGCUUCAAUUCAAAUCAGCUUCAGAAGCUGCAAGACAGAACAUGUUCAGUUCAGGUGUGCAGAGUACAUACAGGUGGAACCGGCCCUUUGGGAUCUUGUUCUGUGGAGGAGGAGGUGGAUUGCCCUGUCGGCGACGAAGCUCCAGCCGUGUGUCACCAGCCUGGGCAUGAUGGUGGUGCUCUUCUUGACCAACGCCGAGCUCCGCGCUGGCGAGGGCCGCUCCUUGACGGGCGUCUUCUCCUCGAAGUUGAGCGCGAUGGGCCUGACAACCUUCUUGGCAGGCUCGGGCGUGCCGACAACGAGCGGGUGGUGCCUCGGGAUGUGCGUGGUGCCGACCACGACGGGGACGGGGGGACCCCGGGUCGAGGCGGCGACUCCGCUUCUGGACGGUUGGUGUCGUCGCGGAGGAGCGGCCGUGCGGUGUCUGCAGGCACUCUUCUUGCUUCUUGCUUCUUGCUUCUUGUCUAGAGAAGUGCAUACAAGAAUUGCUCUAGGGACUCAUCGAUGCUAGAGUGGUAGGUGUGCUGCUUUUACCCCAGAAAUAAUCAUACUGUAUCUAGGAGUAAAAUGCCAAAUAGGAAUGCCAAUGAGGUUGUGCUGCUUCUUUUCAUACUGUGCUUCUUUUCAUACUCAGUUUGUAUCGGCAAUUUUUGUAAGAACAUAUGUGCUAUAGCAAAUGUAGUGGAGCAGGUAUCCAACCAAUCACCUGCCAUUUGCUACUGCUAUAACAAAUGCAGUCUUAUCUACUGCUUCUGUGAAUCUUU